This 477-nucleotide ribosomal RNA is filed under the name uncultured bacterium. RNAcentral's name for it is "partial 16S ribosomal RNA". It matches the Rfam family "Bacterial small subunit ribosomal RNA", at positions 28 to 507 of the family's 1533-position model. The record is from RNAcentral.
GAUGAACGCUGGCGGCGUGCCUAAUACAUGCAAGUCGAGCGAACAGAUGAGGAGCUUGCUCCUCUGACGUUAGCGGCGGACGGGUGAGUAACACGUGGAUAACCUACCUAUCAGACUGGGAUAACUUCGGGAAACCGGAGCUAAUACCGGAUAAUAUAUUGAACCGCAUGGUUCAAUAGUGAAAGACGGUUUUGCUGUCACUUGUGGAUGGAUCCGCGCCGCAUUAGCUAGUUGGUAAGGUAACGGCUUACCAAGGCGACGAUGCGUAGCCGACCUGAGAGGGUGACCGGCCACACUGGGAAUGAGAGACGGCCCAGACUCCUACGGGAGGCAGCAGGGGGGAAGAGUGAACAAUGGGCGCAAGCCUGAUGCAGCAACGCCGCGUGCGGGAUGACGGCCUUCGGGUGGGAAACCGCUUUCGCCAGGGAAGAAGCGUGAGUGACGGUAAUUGCUAAAGAAGCGCCGGCUAACUACGUG